GGGGAUGUGGUUUAGUGGUAUAAUACCUCUUUAGCAACUGAGCAUUGUAAGAUGUUCUACUUGGAUAGAGGUGGUCCGGGGUUCGAUUCCCCGCGUCUCCA
Morchella snyderi is the source of this 101-nucleotide non-coding RNA. Lineage: Eukaryota; Fungi; Ascomycota; Pezizomycetes; Pezizales; Morchellaceae. The record is from the annotation of a GenBank genome assembly.